Molecule: ribosomal RNA, 468 nt
Filed under: uncultured soil bacterium
Lineage: Bacteria
Description: bacterial SSU rRNA
Rfam family: Bacterial small subunit ribosomal RNA
Source: RNAcentral
AGAGUUUGAUCCUGGCUCAGAGCGAACGCUGGCGGCAGGCCUAACACAUGCAAGUCGAGCGCCCCGCAAGGGGAGCGGCAGACGGGAGAGUAACACGUGGGAACGUACCCUUCAGUUCGGAACAACCCAGGGAAACUUGGGCUAAUACCGAAUACGUCCGUAAGGAGAAAGAUUUAUCGCUGAAGGAUCGGCCCGCGUCUGAUUAGCUUGUUGGUGAGGUAACGGCUCACCAAGGCGACGAUCAGUAGCUGGUCUGAGAGGAUGAUCAGCCUCACUGGGACUGAGACACGGCCCAGACUCCUACGGGAGGCAGCAGUGGGGAAUAUUGGACAAUGGGCGCAAGCCUGAUCCAGCCAUGCCGCGUGGGUGAUGAAGGCCCUAGGGUUGUAAAGCCCUUUCGGCGGGGAAGAUAAUGACGGUACCCGCAGAAGAAGCCCUGGCUAACUUCGUGCCAGCAGCCGCGGUAAU